UCAUCGAACCGAUGCUGCUCCAAACUGAUGCGCUGAUGUCUCCAACGCAGUGACCGCUCCAGUCAGAGAGCGAGCUGCUGGUCGUUUCCCAGAACGAGGGCAGAUCCAGGACUUUGAUUGUGGCUGUAGAUGCGUCCAGGCCGGAUGCACGGAUCCACGGAUCCAGACUGACUGCAGGCGUCGGUGCAGAAGUGGACGACUGAAGGAGCAAACACCAACGAGGCAUUCAGGAACCGUGGCAGCUGUACAGUAGGACGUAACAUUCAGGAACCGUUGCAGCUGCAGGACGUAACGUUCAAGAACCGUGGCAGCUGUACGACGUAACGUUCAGGAAUUGUUGCAGCUGCAGGACGUAAAGUUCAGGAACCGUCUCAGUUGCAGGACGUAACGUUCAGGAAUCGUUGCAGCUGCAGGACGUAACGUUCAGGAACCGUUGCAGCUGCAAAAUGGAACGUUCAGGAACCGUCUCAGUUGCAGGACAUAACGUUCAGGAGUCGUUGCAGCUGCAGGACGUAACCUUCAGGAACCGUUGCAGCUGUAAAAUGUAACGUUCAGGAACCGUUGCAGCUGCAGGACGUAACGUUCAAGAACCGUGGCAGCUGUAGGACGUAACGUUCAGGAAUUGUUGCAGCUGCAGGACAUAACGUUCAGGAACCGUCUUAGUUGCAGGACGUAACGUUCAGGAAUCGUUGCAGCUGCAAAAUGUAACGUUGAGGAAAUGAUGCAGCUGCAGGACGUAACGUCCAGGAACCGUGGCAGCUGUAGGACGUAACGUUCAGGAAUUGUUGCAGCUGCAGGACGUAACGUUCAGGAACCGUUGCAGCUGCAGAAUGUAACGUUCAGGAACCGUCUCAGCUGCAGGACGUAACGUUCAGGAAUCGUUGCAGCUGCAGGACGUAACGUUCAGGAAUCGUUGCAGCUGCAGGACGUAACGUUCAGGAACCAUCUCAGCUGCAGGACAUAAUGUUCAGGAAUCGUUGCAGCUGCAGGACGUAACGUUCAGGAAUUGUUGCAGCUGCAGGACGUAACGUUCAGGAACCGUUGCAGCUGCAAAAUGGAACGUUCAGGAACCGUUGCAGCUGCAGGACGUAACGUUCAGGAACCAUCUCAGCUGCAGGACGUAACGUUCAGGAAUCGUUGCAGCUGCAGGACGUAACGUUCAGGAAUCGUUGCAGCUGCAGGACGUAACGUUCAGGAACCAGCACAGCUGCAGGACGUAACGUUCAGGAACCAGCACAGCUGCAGGACGUAAC
RNAcentral lists this long non-coding RNA (1253 nucleotides) under Betta splendens (Siamese fighting fish). Its description in RNAcentral is "lncRNA (ENSBSLG00000013251.1)". The record is from RNAcentral. Lineage: Eukaryota; Metazoa; Chordata; Actinopteri; Anabantiformes; Osphronemidae.